AUUCGCUGGAUGAGUUUGAGGCAUUGGAUUGAGUUCAUUCAAUCUGAGCCCUACAUUCAUCAGGGGUAUUC
RNAcentral lists this microRNA precursor (71 nucleotides) under Nicotiana attenuata. RNAcentral describes it as "MIR6151 microRNA precursor family". It matches the Rfam family "MIR6151 microRNA precursor family". The record is from Rfam by way of RNAcentral. Lineage: Eukaryota; Viridiplantae; Streptophyta; Magnoliopsida; Solanales; Solanaceae.